CCGUACACAAAAGCGCAUGUGCUGUGAGCUCGAUGAGUAGGGCGGGACACGUGGUAUCCUGUCUGAAUAUGGGGGGACCAUCCUCCAAGGCUAAAUACUCCUGACUGACCGAUAGUGAACCAGUACCGUGAGGGAAAGGCGAAAAGAACCCCGGCGAGGGGAGUGAAAAAGAACCUGAAACCGUGUACGUACAAGCAGUGGGAGCACAGGUUUACCUGUGUGACUGCGUACCUUUUGUAUAAUGGGUCAGCGACUUAUAUUCUGUAGCAAGGUUAACCGAAUAGGGGAGCCGGAGGGAAACCGAGUCUUAAUUGGGCGUUAAGUUGCAGGGUAUAGACCCGAAACCCGGUGAUCUAGCCAUGGGCAGGUUGAAGGUUGGGUAACACUAACUGGAGGACCGAACCGACUAAUGUUGAAAAAUUAGCGGAUGACCUGUGGCUGGGGGUGAAAGGCCAAUCAAACCGGGAGAUAGCUGGUUCUCCCCGAAAGCUAUUUAGGUAGCGCCUCGUGAAUUCAUCUCCGGGGGUAGAGCACUGUUUCGGCUAGGGGGCCAUCCCGGCUUACCAACCCGAUGCAAACUGCGAAUACCGGAGAAUGUUAUCACGGGAGACACACGGCGGGUGCUAACGUCCGUCGUGAAGAGGGAAACAACCCAGACCGCCAGCUAAGGUCCCAAAGUCAUGGUUAAGUGGGAAACGAUGUGGGAAGGCCCAGACAGCCAGGAUGUUGGCUUAGAAGCAGCCAUCAUUUAAAGAAAGCGUAAUAGCUCACUGGUCGAGUCGGCCUGCGCGGAAGAUGUAACGGGGCUAAACCAUGCACCGAAGCUGCGGCAGCGAACGUAUCACCCAAGACAACUUUACGGAGUUGACGAUUGACGGAGCGAAGCGACGUCAAAGCGUUCAUUAAAGUCGAGUUGGCUUAGGGAUACGUUCGUUGGGUAGGGGAGCGUUCUGUAAGCCUGUGAAGGUGUGUCGUGAGGC
RNAcentral lists this ribosomal RNA (980 nucleotides) under Salmonella enterica subsp. enterica. RNAcentral's name for it is "partial 23S ribosomal RNA". It matches the Rfam family "Bacterial large subunit ribosomal RNA", at positions 373 to 1269 of the family's 2925-position model. RNAcentral also lists the same sequence under 1 other name. The record is from RNAcentral. Lineage: Bacteria; Pseudomonadati; Pseudomonadota; Gammaproteobacteria; Enterobacterales; Enterobacteriaceae.